UUCAAAGGAGGAAAGGCUUAUGGUGGAUACCUAGGCACCCAGAGAUGAAGAAGGGCGUAGCAAACGACGAGAUGCUUCGGGGAGUUGAAAGCAAGCAUAGAUCCGGAGAUUCCCAAAUAGAUCAACCUUUCAAACUGCUGCUGAAUCCAUGGGCAGGCAAGAGACAACCUGGUGAACUGAAACAUCUUAGUAGCCAGAGGAAAAGAAAGCAAAAGCGAUUCCCGUAGUAGCGGUGAGCGAAAUGGGAGCAGCCUAAACCGUGAAAACGGGGUUGUGGGAGAG
This 282-nucleotide ribosomal RNA is filed under the name Carex giraldiana. Its description in RNAcentral is "23S ribosomal RNA". It matches the Rfam family "Bacterial large subunit ribosomal RNA", at positions 1 to 308 of the family's 2925-position model. Lineage: Eukaryota; Viridiplantae; Streptophyta; Magnoliopsida; Poales; Cyperaceae. The record is from RNAcentral.